RNAcentral lists this ribosomal RNA (253 nucleotides) under uncultured bacterium. RNAcentral's name for it is "partial 16S ribosomal RNA". It matches the Rfam family "Bacterial small subunit ribosomal RNA", at positions 524 to 776 of the family's 1533-position model. The record is from RNAcentral.
UACGAAGGGGGCUAGCGUUGUUCGGAAUCACUGGGCGUAAAGGGCGCGUAGGCGGCUGUUCAAGUCGGGGGUGAAAGCCUGUGGCUCAACCACAGAAUUGCCUUCGAUACUGGACGGCUAGAGUCCGGAAGAGGAGAGUGGAAUUCCUGGUGUAGCGGUGAAAUGCGCAGAUAUCAGGAAGAACACCCGUGGCGAAGGCGGCUCUCUGGGACGGUACUGACGCUGAGACGCGAAAGCGUGGGGAGCGAACAGG